CCUACGGGACGCAGCAGUGAGGAAUAUUGGUCAAUGGCCGAGAGGCUGAACCGGCCAAGUCGCGUGAGGGAUGACGGCCCUACGGGUUGUAAACCUCUUUUGUCGGGGAGCAAGACCCGCCACGAGUGGCGGAGCGAGAGUACCCGAAGAAAAAGCAUCGGCUAACUCCGUGCCAGCAGCCGCGGUAAUACGGAGGAUGCGAGCGUUAUCCGGAUUUAUUGGGUUUAAAGGGUGCGUAGGCGGGACGGUAAGUCAGCGGUAAAAAUGCGGAGCUCAACUCCGUCGAGCCGUUGAAACUGGCAGAC
This 305-nucleotide ribosomal RNA is filed under the name uncultured bacterium. RNAcentral describes it as "bacterial SSU rRNA". It matches the Rfam family "Bacterial small subunit ribosomal RNA", at positions 338 to 641 of the family's 1533-position model. The record is from RNAcentral.